RNAcentral lists this ribosomal RNA (498 nucleotides) under uncultured bacterium. Its description in RNAcentral is "partial 16S ribosomal RNA". It matches the Rfam family "Bacterial small subunit ribosomal RNA", at positions 30 to 523 of the family's 1533-position model. The record is from RNAcentral.
AUUGAACGCUGGCGGCAUGCCCUACACAUGCAAGUCGAACGGUAACAGGUCUUCGGAUGCUGACGAGUGGCGAACGGGUGAGUAAUACAUCGGAACGUGCCUAGUAGUGGGGGAUAACUACUCGAAAGAGUGGCUAAUACCGCGUGAGAUCUACGGAUGAAAGCAGGGGAUCGCAAGACCUUGUGCUACUAGAGCGGCCGAUGGCAGAUUAGGUAGUUGGUGGGAUAAAAGCUUACCAAGCCGACGAUCUGUAGCUGGUCUGAGAGGACGAUCAGCCACACUGGGACUGAGACACGGCCCAGACUCCUACGGGAGGCAGCAGUGGGGAAUUUUGGACAAUGGGCGCAAGCCUGAUCCAGCAAUGCCGCGUGCAGGAUGAAGGCCUUCGGGUUGUAAACUGCUUUUGUACGGAACGAAAAGCCCUGGGUUAAUACCCUGGGGUCAUGACGGUACCGUAAGAAUAAGCACCGGCUAACUACGUGCCAGCCGCCGCCGUAA